CUAACACCAUCACCAAAGAAACACGAAGUAACUAUAGAAAAUAGCAAACGAAGAAACUACAGUAAGCAAAUCAGAUAUCUAUACCUGUCAUACGUUGUAAUGAUUAUAAUGUCAACAUAAAUAAUUAUAUCAAUACCUAAAUGUAAUACACAUUGUUGAUCACCAUCAACAAAAAAUACUAAAUAAAUGUACAAAGUAAUUUGUGAUUUCGUAUACAGUAGCUUGUUUAUUUCGCGUUCGCGUUCCUAGCGUAAAUAACCAUUAGAUCCGCCGAGGCAUUUCACUCAGUGCAACUGAGUGAAUGCGACGUCAGAUCCUAAGCGGAAAUGACGCUGAGCUGUGUCUGCUGUGGCUGUGUUUACAUCGGGGAAGAGGACUGGUUUGGAUUUCAUCGCGUUUUCGCCGCAGAUACAUGGGUUUUCUGCAUAUAUCAUGCUUUUAUUGCAUAUAUCAUGCUUUUAUCGUCGUUUCCUGUGAUGUUGAUCGUACGGACACAGGUUGUAGUGCAAAAAUAAUUGAAACAUGUCAACAUCCAUGGAAACGGCACGACCUUUGAUCGGCAUUUCAGUGCACUUUGCCGUUGUAACUGAGACGUGUUACUCAUAGGGGCGGGAUUCCCAUGCCAUAUGGAUAGAGUAAUGAAAAAUUGUUGAUAACAAGGAUUUUCGUUUACUUUGAAGCAUUUUAUUAAAUGCCGCGCAUGCGCAGAUAGAAGUUAUUUCUGCCGCGGUAGUACUAACCUCUAGGAGGUUACUUAGUACUGCCGCGGCAGAAAUAACCCCUAUCUGCGCAUGCGUGAAUUAAUAAUGCAAGUCCAACAUAGAUUGAGAAAUAAAAAUAAAAUAACACAGACACAAACAAAUGCAACAUCAAUAGAUUACAAGAUGCAAAUAAAUGAAAACUUGUGUGCAUUACAACUUUUAACACAGGCAUACAGAACUGUCACAUUUCAAAGAACUGUCAAAUUUACUUCAAUUUUCAUAGGGAUAGGCAUGCACUGUGCAAAUUUCAGCCAACCCAAUAUUAGUAAACAAAAGUUUGGUUAGUUAGGUAGGUUGGUUAGUUAGGUAGGUUAGUUGUAACUAAUGUAAAUUUACCUACAGUUUAAUGAUAUUAUUAGUAGUUAGUUGUGACUAAUGACUUUUCCCUACAAUCUCAUAAAUUCCAAUAAUUAAAAUAAUUCCAUACUUCAAUAAUACUCUGUUUCUAGUAAAAAUCAUUUCAAGGACCAAAUGAAUGCAAUUCUUCAAAAUUAUGUGUUCUAGUAUUGUAGGUUCAUAUGACGUUUGUUUACAUCAUGACCCCAGGGUAUUGGGGAUGCACUAUUUAUACCUGUGAGGUUUCGUUGUGGGGUACAGUCCAUUAAAAAUGCAUAAAAUUGUGUAAUAAUUAAAAAUAGAUUAAUAUAAAAAAAUAAUUGAAAAACUAAUGAUUUGGAUCUGAACAAUUAGAAUGAUGCUCGGGAUGUCUACAUUUUUGUCUGAACAAUUAAAAUGAUGCUCAGGAUGUCUACAUUUUUAUCUGGACAAUUAGAAUGAUGCUCGGGAUGUCUACUUUUUUGUCUCGGGCUCGUGAUCCUGUCUACAUUAUGACUUGCUUGUUUUUUGUUUUUGAAACUGAGAUGUUGAUGUGUUUUAUUCGAAUCGUGUCGUCUAUAUUUUAUCUAGGAUGUUGUCCACUAAGUCACUGGUGGGGAUGACAGCACUACCCUGCACACAGACAUUGAAUGGAGCUGCCUGGUCCAUUAUCAGAAGAGUGGGCAGCACUUUGCACCCGGUCAAUGAAUUUUUCUUGAGAAGCAUUACAAGGGACUUGUAUGAAUAGGCAGAAGAAAUUUUCUUAACUAACUACCUCACCAUUGCCUGGUGUUGGAGACUGAACAUUUUAUUGAAAAUUGAUGAGAUGUAGGAAUCAGUGGAUGUCAUCGUUUGUCCUGAGAAGAGUCAGAGAACUGCUUGGGCCUCACGAGAUGCUGACACCAUGCAGUAGAGCUGUUCCCAUCGGUAUCUCUUAAAACAGACAGAUUGAGAUUCUCUUAACAUCUGAUCCAUUUCUGGAGACAAACUUUUGUAUGGAGCUGGGUAGCAGUUACUUGAAAUGUCCAGCUGAUUGAUGAGGAUAAUUUCCCUCAGACUAUAACAUGUUGUAGGACUUGGACAGCUCUAUUGCUGAGAAAAUAUCAGGAUGGUGGGGACUUAAAUAAGUGGUGUGAUGUUAUUGAUGUUAAACAGAAGACUGUGACCUUGAAUCUGAAGAUCUGUGGUGAAGACUGGACGUUUGGGGUCACUCUCUGUUACAGUACUACAAAUCUAAGUAAGUACUCAGUAAUAAUGUAAGACUGAACUCUGUAUCAUGUUUAUCUAAUAUAUACAUUGUAAAAUCAAACAUAUAUUGAACAAGAGGCCCACGGGCCUUAUAGGUCACCUGAGUAUCAUGUAACAACCUUCCAAUGUUUGAAUUAGGUUUGUGUUUAAAUAUAAGAAUUUUACUUUUGGAUGGAAGAAACAUUGAAUAGCUAUGUGGUCAGCCCCGCCUUUGCACCAGAACCCCUGACCCAGGGGCCAUAAAUUUCAGUUUUGAAAGAAGCAUCCUUGAUCAUCAUUAUCAUACUAUUAGUUUGUCUACUUAAUACCCAGCAGCAGAGGAGAAGAUUUUCAAAGAAAUAAAAUGCAUUUUCACUAUAUGAUCAAUAGGGCCCCACCCUAAUGCCAGAACCCCUGACCCAGGGGCCAUGAAUUUCACAAUUUUGAAAGAGGCAUCCUUGCUCAUCAUAACCAUGCUAUUGGUUUGUCUACUUAAUACCCAAGGACAGAGAAGAAGAUUUUCAAAGAAAUAAUGCAUUUUCACUAUAUUACUUAUAGAGCCCCACCCUAGCACCAGAACCCCUGAUCCAGGGGUCAUGAAUUUCACAAUUUUUAACAAGAGGUACUGUGAGCAAUGCUCACUAAGAAUACCCCCCGCUUACCCCAAUCUCCCAAAGGGUGUUGGUAAUAGGUAUAAACUACCUCUUUCUGAGUGUUGCUACUUCGAUGUCCAGUGUGCAUGACCUUUGACCUUUUGACCCCAAAAUUGAUAGGGAUCAUCUUCAUCCCAUGGGUAGUCCAUAUGUUUGAUAUGGUGACUGUAGGUGGAAAGGAUAACACUUUAGAGCCCGGAAACCAUAUUGCUACUUCAAUGUCCAGUGCGCUUGACCUUUGGACCCCAAAAUCGAUAGGGAACAUCUUCAUCCUAUGGGUAGUCCAUAUGUAUGAUAUGGUGACUGUAGGUGGAAAGGAUAACACUUUAGAGUCCGGAAACCAUAUUGCUACAUCAGAUGUCCAGUGUGCUUGACCUUUGACCUCAAAAUCGAUAGGGAACAUCUUCAUCCCAUGAGUAGUCCAUAUAAUUAUAUGAUAUGGUGACGGUAGGUGAAAAGGAUAAUGCUUUAGAGCCCGGAAACCAUUGCUUCUACAGACGGACAACCCGAUUCCAGUAUACCCCCCCCCCCUCCCCCACAACUUGUUGCGGGGGGGGGGGGGGGGUAUAAAGAGGCAUCCUUGCUCAUCAUUACCAUGCUAUUAGUUUGUCUACUUAAUACCCAGAGACAGAGAAGAUUUUCAAAGAAUUUCUACAUUUUCACUAUAUGACCCAUAGAGCC
Molecule: long non-coding RNA, 3637 nt
Organism: Ostrea edulis (European flat oyster)
Lineage: Eukaryota; Metazoa; Mollusca; Bivalvia; Ostreida; Ostreidae
Exons: 5
Source: RefSeq, a predicted model, not a curated record